GGUUCGAUCCUGGCUCAGAUUGAACGCUGGCGGAUGCUUUACACAUGCAAGUCGAACGGCAGCACGGACUUCGGUCUGGUGGCGAGUGGCGAACGGUGAGUAAUGUAUCGGAACGUGCCUAGUAGCGGGGAUAACUACGCGAAAGCGUAGCUAAUACCGCAUACGUUCUUCCAGUAGGCGGGACUUUCGGGCCUCGCAAUCAUUAGAGCGGCCGAUAUCGGAUUAGCUAGUUGGUGGGCAACGUCACCAAGGCGACGAUCUGUAGCUGGUUUGAGAGGACGACCAGCCACACUGGGACUGAGACACGGCCCAGACUACGGGAGGCAGCAGCGGGGAAUUUUGGAUAAUGGGGGGAAACUCCUGAUCCAGCCAUCCCGCGUGUGCGAUGAAGGCUCGGGUUGUAAAGCACUUUUGGCAGGAGAAACGGCACGGGAUAAUACCCUGCAACUGACGGUACUCUGCAGAAUAAGCACCGGCUAACUACGCCAGCAGCCGCGGUAAUACGUAGGGUGCAAGCGUUAAUCGGAAUUACUGGGCGUAAAGGUGCAGGCGGUUCGGUAAGAAAGAUGCGAAAUCCCAGAGCUUAACUUUGGAACUGGCAUUUUUAACUACCGAGCUAGAGUGUGUCAGAGGGAGGUGGAAUUCCGGCGUGUAGCAGUGAAAUGCAGAUAAGGCGGAGGAACACCGAUGGCGAAGGCAGCCCUGGGAGUAACACUGACGCCUACGCACGAAAGCGUGGGGAGCAAACAGGAUUAGAUACUCCUGGUAGUCUACGCCCAACGAUGUCAACUAGCUGUUAAGCCUUCGGGCCUGGUAGCAGCGCCAACGCGGGAAGUUGACCGCCUGGGAGUACGGUCGCAAGAUUAAAACUCAAAGGAAUUGACGGUGACCCGCACAAGCGGUGGAUGAUGUGGAUUAAUUCGAUGCGUAACGCGAAAAACUCACUACCCUUGACAUGUCUGAAUCCCGAAGAGAUUUGGGAGUGUCAAAAGAGGAACCGGAACAUGUAAAAGCGUAUGGCUGUCGUCAGCUCGUGUCGUGAGAUGUUGGGUUAAGUCCCGCAACGAGCGCAACCUCUUGUCAUUAGUUGCUACGAAAGGGCACUCUAAUGAGAUCGCUGGUGACAAACCGGAGGAAGGUGGGGAUGACGUCAAGUCCUCAUGGCCCUUAUGGGUAGGGCUUAAUGUCAUACAAUGGUCGGGACAGAGGGCGUCGCCAACCCGCGAGGGGGAGCCAAUCCCCAGAAAACCCGAUCAGAGUCCGACUGCAGUCUGCAACUCGACUGCGGAAGUCGGACCGCUAGUAAUCGCGGAUCAGCAAGCAUGUCGCGGUGAAUACGUUCCCGGGUCUUGUACACACCGCCCGUCACACCCGCGGAGUGGCUUUACCAGAAGUAGUUAGCCUAACCGUAAGGGGAGGGCGAUUACCACGGUAGGAUUCAUGACUGGGGUGAAGUCAACAAGGUAG
Molecule: ribosomal RNA, 1467 nt
Filed under: uncultured Bordetella sp.
Lineage: Bacteria; Pseudomonadati; Pseudomonadota; Betaproteobacteria; Burkholderiales; Alcaligenaceae
Description: partial 16S-23S ribosomal RNA intergenic spacer
Rfam family: Bacterial small subunit ribosomal RNA
Source: RNAcentral